Molecule: ribosomal RNA, 545 nt
Filed under: uncultured bacterium
Lineage: Bacteria
Description: bacterial SSU rRNA
Rfam family: Bacterial small subunit ribosomal RNA
Source: RNAcentral
AAUAGAUACCCGGGUAGUCCACCCCGUAAACGUUGGGAACUAGUUGUGGGGUCCAUUCCACGGAUUCCGUGACGCAGCUAACGCAUUAAGUUCCCCGCCUGGGGAGUACGGCCGCAAGGCUAAAACUCAAAGGAAUUGACGGGGACCCGCACAAGCGGCGGAGCAUGCGGAUUAAUUCGAUGCAACGCGAAGAACCUUACCAAGGCUUGACAUAUAGAGGAAACGGCUGGAAACAGUCGCCCCGCAAGGUCUCUAUACAGGUGGUGCAUGGUUGUCGUCAGCUCGUGUCGUGAGAUGUUGGGUUAAGUCCCGCAACGAGCGCAACCCUCGUUCUAUGUUGCCAGCACGUAAUGGUGGGAACUCAUGGGAUACUGCCGGGGUCAACUCGGAGGAAGGUGGGGAUGACGUCAAAUCAGUCAUGCCCCUUAUGUCUUGGGCUUCACGCAUGCUACAAUGGCCGGUACAAAGGGCUGCAAUACCGUAAGGUGGAGCGAAUCCCGAAAAGCCGGUCCAGUUCGGAUUGAGGUCUGCAACUCGACCUCAUG